GACGAACGCUGGCGGCGUGCUUAACACAUGCAAGUCGAACGCGCCUGUCCUCUGUGUUUCUGGUGGUUGGGUGAGUGGCGAACGGGUGAGUAACACGUGAGUAACCUGCCCCCUUCUUCGGGAUAACGGUCUGAAAGGGCUGCUCAUACCGGGUAUUCCCUGGUCUCCGCAUGGGGUCUGGUGGUAAGGUUUUUUUCUGGUGGGGGAUGGGCUCGCGGCCUAUCAGCUUGUUGGUGGGGUGAUGGCCCACCAAGGCUUUGACGGGUAGCCGGACUGAGAGGGGGACCGGGAACAUGAGGAGUGAGAUAGGGACCAGAAUACGACGGGAGGCAGCAGGGGGGAAUAUUGCACAAUGGGCGCAAGCCUGAGGCAGCGACGGCGGGAGAGGGAUGGAGGGCGUCGGGUUGUGAACCGCUUUCGCCAGUGGUAAAGCCGCGAAGGGGGUCGGGGUGAGGGUAGUGGGUAAAGAAGCGCCGGCUAACUACGUG
This 488-nucleotide ribosomal RNA is filed under the name uncultured bacterium. RNAcentral's name for it is "partial 16S ribosomal RNA". It matches the Rfam family "Bacterial small subunit ribosomal RNA", at positions 28 to 507 of the family's 1533-position model. The record is from RNAcentral.